UAUUCCCUACGGGGCGCAGCAGUGGGGAAUAUUGGGCAAUGGGGGAAACCCUGACCCAGCGACGCCGCGUGAGGGAAGAAGGUUUUCGGAUUGUAAACCUCUGACCUUGGUGACGAUAAUGACGGUAGCCAAGGAGGAAGCCACGGCUAACUACGUGCCAGCAGCCGCGGUAAUACGUAGGUGGCGAGCGUUGUCCGGAAUUACUGGGUGUAAAGGGAGCGUAGGCGGGAGAGCAAGUCGACUGUGAAAUCUAUGGGCUUAACCCAUAGCUGCGAUCGAAACUGUUCAUCUUGAGUGAAGUAAGG
This 305-nucleotide ribosomal RNA is filed under the name uncultured bacterium. Its description in RNAcentral is "bacterial SSU rRNA". It matches the Rfam family "Bacterial small subunit ribosomal RNA", at positions 333 to 656 of the family's 1533-position model. The record is from RNAcentral.